RNAcentral lists this ribosomal RNA (370 nucleotides) under uncultured Acidithiobacillus sp. Its description in RNAcentral is "bacterial SSU rRNA". It matches the Rfam family "Bacterial small subunit ribosomal RNA", at positions 509 to 878 of the family's 1533-position model. The record is from RNAcentral. Lineage: Bacteria; Pseudomonadati; Pseudomonadota; Acidithiobacillia; Acidithiobacillales; Acidithiobacillaceae.
CAGCACCCGCGGUAAUACGGGGGGUGCAAGCGUUAAUCGGAAUCACUGGGCGUAAAGGGUGCGUAGGCGGUGCAUUAGGUCUGUCGUGAAAUCCCCGGGCUCAACCUGGGAAUGGCGGUGGAAACCGGUGUACUAGAGUAUGGGAGAGGGUGGUGGAAUUCCAGGUGUAGCGGUGAAAUGCGUAGAGAUCUGGAGGAACAUCAGUGGCGAAGGCGGCCACCUGGCCCAAUACUGACGCUGAGGCACGAAAGCGUGGGGAGCAAACAGGAUUAGAUACCCUGGUAGUCCACGCCCUAAACGAUGAAUACUAGAUGUUUGGUGCCAAGCGUACUGAGUGUCGUAGCUAACGCAAUAAGUAGACUGUCUCUGA